GGGCCCGUGGUCCAGUGGUCAAGACACUACCCUCACACGGUAGAUACCGGGGUUCGAAUCCCCGCGGGCCCA
RNAcentral lists this transfer RNA (72 nucleotides) under Hadesarchaea archaeon. RNAcentral describes it as "tRNA-Val". It matches the Rfam family "tRNA". From Rfam's summary of the family: Transfer RNA (tRNA) molecules are approximately 80 nucleotides in length. Their secondary structure includes four short double-helical elements and three loops (D, anti-codon, and T loops). The record is from RNAcentral. Lineage: Archaea; Methanobacteriati; Hadarchaeota (SeqCode); Hadarchaeia (SeqCode). RNAcentral also lists the same sequence under 1 other name.